AGUGAACGCUGGCGGUAGGCCUAACACAUGCAAGUCGAACGGCAGCACAGUAAGAGCUUGCUCUUACGGGUGGCGAGUGGCGGACGGGUUAGGAAUACAUCGGAAUCUACUUUUUCGUGGGGGAUAACGUAGGGAAACUUACGCUAAUACCGCAUACGACCUACGGGUGAAAGCAGGGGAUCUUCGGACCUUGCGCGAUUGAAUGAGCCGAUGUCGGAUUAGCUAGUUGGCGGGGUAAAGGCCCACCAAGGCGACGAUCCGUAGCUGGUCUGAGAGGAUGAUCAGCGACACUGGAACUGAGACACGGUCCAGACGCCUACGGGAGGCAGCAGUGGGGAAUAUUGGACAAUGGGCGCAAGCCUGAUGCAGCCAUACCGCGUGGGUGAAGAAGGCCUUCGGGUUGUAAAGCCCUUUUGUUGGGAAAGAAAAGCAGCAGGUUAAUACCCCGCUGUUCUGACGGUACCCAAAGAAUAAGCACCGGCUAACUUCGUG
RNAcentral lists this ribosomal RNA (492 nucleotides) under uncultured bacterium. RNAcentral's name for it is "partial 16S ribosomal RNA". It matches the Rfam family "Bacterial small subunit ribosomal RNA", at positions 29 to 507 of the family's 1533-position model. The record is from RNAcentral.